GUCAAUAGCCUAACGGCUGAACCAGCAAUUUGGGGGAAUGUAUAGCAUAUGCUAAUUGUAUGUUAAAUACAAUAUCGACUAUGUCGAAUAAAGUUCUAGAUGGAAUACUGAUAAUGACAAUUUUCCAUCUAUAUGUCUUGACCAAAUCACGUGCCAGCAGUCGCGGUAAUACGUGGAAGACUAGUGUUAUUCAUCUUUAAUAGGUUUAAAGGGUACCUAGACGGUAUUUCUAGCCCAAAUAAAGGGUACGGAUUUACUAGAGUUUAAUGUAAGAAGAAAAAAUUAAGAAUGAAAUAUUAAUUUUCAUUUUUUGUAGUACUUGAAGUGUAGAGAUAAAAUUUUGUGAUACUUUAAGGAAACUGGUGAUGCGAAAGCAACCUUCUAUGUAUAAACUGACGUUGAGGGACGAAGGCUUGGGUCGCGAAUAGGAUUAGAUACCCUAGUAGUCCAAGCAGAAAAUUAUGAAUGCCAUAGAUCAGAUUUAUUUUGGUUUAUAAAUGAAAGUGUAAGCAUUCCACCUCAAGAGUAAUGUGGCAACGCAGGAACUGAAAUCAUUAGACCGUUUCUGAAACCAGUAGUGAAGUAUGUUAUUUAAUUCGAUAAUCCGCGAAAAACCUUACCACAAUUUGAAUACAAAAACGAUUCCCCCUCUCCUCCGGCUGGGAAUCUAAGUACAAGCGCUGCACGGCUGUCUUCAGUUAAUGUCGUGAGAUUUUGGUUAGUUCCAUUAAAUUAACGUAAACCCUUGCUUUAUUUAUAAUUUUUAUAUAAAGUAGUUCACCGUUACAUUGGAUAUGAUAAAAGGGAAUAAGACAAGUCAUCAUGGCCUUAAUAUUGUGGGCUAUAG
RNAcentral lists this ribosomal RNA (847 nucleotides) under Sarea resinae. RNAcentral's name for it is "SSU rRNA". It matches the Rfam family "Bacterial small subunit ribosomal RNA", at positions 367 to 1219 of the family's 1533-position model. The record is from RNAcentral. Lineage: Eukaryota; Fungi; Ascomycota; Sareomycetes; Sareales; Zythiaceae.